This 675-nucleotide ribosomal RNA is filed under the name bacterium. RNAcentral describes it as "bacterial SSU rRNA". It matches the Rfam family "Bacterial small subunit ribosomal RNA", at positions 115 to 789 of the family's 1533-position model. The record is from RNAcentral.
ACAUGGGUAACCUGCCUGUAAGACUGGGAUAACUCCGGGAACCGGGGCUAAUACCGGAUGGUUGUUUGAACCGCAUGGUUCAGACAUAAAGGUGGCUUCGGCUACCACUUACAGAUGGACCGCGGCGCAUUAGCUAGUUGGUGAGGUACGGCUCACCAAGGCGACGAUGCGUAGCCGCCUGAGAGGGUGAUCAGGCCACACUGGGACUGAGACAGGCCCAGACUCCUACGGGCGCAGCAGUAGGGAAUCUUCCGUCAAUGGACGAAAGUUGACGGAGCAACGCCGCGUGAGUGAUGAAGGUUUCGGAUCGUAAAGCUCUGUUGUUAGGGAAGAAAGCUGCCGUUCAAAUAGGGCGGCACCUUGACGGUACUAACCAGAAAGCCACGAGCUAACUCGUGCCAGCAGCCGCGGUAAUACGUAGGUGGCAAGCGUUGUCCGGAACUAUUGGGCGUAAAGGGCUCGCAGGCGGUUUCUUAAGUCUGAUGUGAAAGCCCGGCUCAACCGGGUAGGGUCAUUGGAAACUGGGGAACUUGAGUGCAGAAGAGGAAGUGGAAUUCACACGUGAGCGGUGAAAUGCGUAGAGAUGUGGAGGAACACCAGUGGCGAAGGCACUCUCCUGGUCUGUAACUGACGCUGAGGGCGAAAGCGUGGGAGCGAACAGGAUUAGAUACCCUG